UACGCUGGCGGCACGCCUAACACAUGCAAGUCGAACGCAGUAGCAAUACUGAGUGGCAAACGGGUGAGUAUAAUGUGGGAAUCUGCCUUUUGGUUUGGAAUAACACGGGGAAACUUGUGCUAAUACCGGAUAAGCCCUUACGGGGAAAGUUUUAACGCCGAAAGAUGAGCCUGCACUUGAUUAGCUAGUUGGUAAGGUAAAAGCUUACCAAGGCAACGAUCAAUAGCUGUUCUUAGAGGAAGACCAGCCACAUUGGGACUGAGACACGGCCCAGACUCCUACGGGAGGCAGCAGUGGGGAAUCUUGCACAAUGGGGGAAACCCUGAUGCAGCGAUGCCGCGUGAGUGAAGAAGGCCCUUGGGUUGUAAAACUCUUUCGUCGGGGAAGAAAAUGACUGUACCCGAAUAAGAAGGUCCGGCUAACU
Molecule: ribosomal RNA, 424 nt
Filed under: uncultured bacterium
Lineage: Bacteria
Description: bacterial SSU rRNA
Rfam family: Bacterial small subunit ribosomal RNA
Source: RNAcentral